UCUGUUUUGACAGGUCUUUUUUGCUCGAGAUUCAGAAUAGAUUUCACAAACUUUAACAUUUCAAACUCAAAAACUCAGUUUUUACGCUGCUGAGACAUCUCGGACCUCAAAAUGACCCUGAAUUCAUUGAAUCUCACUGUUAAGAGUGCGUUGACUUUGGGAGGAGGAGGCGUCGGCAGCCGGAGUCAUCUGGAGUGAGCUUUGUGACGAGGCAAAAGGGAAAGGACAUACAUGUAUGUGAUUUGGAGAGUCUACAAGGACCUCCAUGACAUGCAAG
Micropterus dolomieu (smallmouth bass) is the source of this 277-nucleotide long non-coding RNA. RefSeq lists it as uncharacterized. NCBI's taxonomy places the organism in Eukaryota, Metazoa, Chordata, Actinopteri, Centrarchiformes, Centrarchidae. The record is from RefSeq and is a predicted model, not a curated record. The transcript has 3 exons.